UGUGAGGUAAAGCAACUACCAUCUCAAAACCUACAAAAACAAGGGCAAUUGCUUAAACGUGCCUUUUCUCUUGACCAAAGGAACAAAUAAUGUAAGAUAGGCUUCUAGACAUGUGCAGGUGAGAUGCAGUGAGCAGGUGAGAAUGUUAUGGGCAGCCUGGGAGCUACAGGUGGGAUUUGUGUGAAGCCAGCCAUUUCAGGCCAAACAAGCUACAGCUGAUGGUGUAGGAAGCUUAUAAGUUUGUUCUAACAUGGACGGGUUCUAUGGAGAAGUUUUUCUCGUGUUUCAGCAGCGAAACGAUCAAGAAAAUAUUUGGGAAUGGUCCUGCAUUUACAGAAAGGAGCCCUUUGCUUCUGGAGGUGUUUCUCUGCAGCGCUGCCACUAGAGCAGCGCCACCGAUGGGUCACUUAAGUGGAAGGUAUUAUUUAGAGAAGGGGCAUGGUGCAGAGUGCUUGAAUCAUGGCUCUGCCAGCUGCUGACACACUGAUAAUAGACUUCUUGUCAAGCAACAGCUGUUAGAGAGAAAUCAGGUUUGAUUAGAAGGCAGGUAUAUUGAGGGGAGAAGAAGUGGGAUGAAGUGUAAGGUUAUUACAACAAACCACAGGGGAAAAUCCUGUUCCUGAUGUGAUCUUUGAAGGUACAUAGUGUUUCUUCUUGGUUUUUGUUUCUAUACAGCUAAGAGAAGCAUCAACAUGCAACACAUUUUAAGAACUGUAGGGGCUGGUGGGGAGGCACACACUUCUCAAGUACUUGAAAGAAGGCAUAUAAAUAUAAAGGGGCUUUCUUCAGAAAGUUGGAAAAA
This 802-nucleotide long non-coding RNA is filed under the name Coturnix japonica (Japanese quail). RNAcentral describes it as "lncRNA (ENSCJPG00005008744.1)". The record is from RNAcentral. Lineage: Eukaryota; Metazoa; Chordata; Aves; Galliformes; Phasianidae.